Molecule: long non-coding RNA, 1748 nt
Filed under: Strongylocentrotus purpuratus (purple sea urchin)
Lineage: Eukaryota; Metazoa; Echinodermata; Echinoidea; Camarodonta; Strongylocentrotidae
Description: uncharacterized LOC115923617
Source: RNAcentral
CUCGGGUUGCACGUAAAGCGUGCCGUUUAUGUCGCUGCAGAGAUUGCCGUUUCGUCAUCGGAAGCAACCAUCAAAACGAUGACGUAGUUUACAAAAAUAGCUUUCAUUUGAUAUGCAACACAUGGUUUUCCGAUACAGAGAAGUUGGAUAAUUUUUGGCUGGAAGCUUAUUUCGAGAAGUAAGACCCCAGUUUUUGCUGAAGGUAUACAGUAACAACCAGACACCAUGCCACCAAAAAAGAAACAACGAAAAAAACUUCCAUUGCCAAAACAAUUUGGAAAGAAACGGCAGUAUCUCGCUGACAACUUUAAUGCCUUACCAGAUGACCCAACAGACUUGAAAAAUGGACAUGUUUUGUUACUUUACAUUACAAAAGAAAAGUCUCCAACCCAAACAAUAACAGCAAUCAGGGAGAAAUAUUCAUGCAAAUGUGUUAAAGUCCAGCUGCAAUCCCUUCUGAAUCGGGAAUCAAAGUUUUCAAGAACAAGCAAUGCGGAGACCGUCAUGAAGAGAUAUGAAACCUGUUGUGAAGAGACAUUUGAAGUAAAGGAACAAGAUGAUCCCAAUGCCCCUGGACAGUCUUCAAAUGAGCAAGCAGCAGAACAAGAGACAGCUGGAUCUCCAGAGCCUCAACAGAUGAUGGAAAGCACUGCAACCAGACAAUCUUUAGUGACUCCAGUCUCAUCUCUACCCACACAAUCUGUGGACUCAUCUUCUCCUAUUCGUUCUUCAAGAAGAAAAGCACCCCAAACCCCAAACAAAAUCUUUAUGAAAAAAAGAUUGGACUUUGUAACAAAAUCUAAAGUUGAAAUGAAUACAACAGUAUAAACGAAAAGUGUCAAAACUGAGAUCGAACAUAAAUUUCCAGAAGAUACAUGAAGUCAAAUAUCUAAACCAAUAUGUGAUGCGCCAGAAAACGAUGCUCGCUAAAAGGAAUGCAACAAUAGCAUUGCUCCGGUCUCAGUUAGCUAGCACAAUUGUAGGGGAAGAACUAAACAAAAUGAAAAAAAAGCAAAAAAUGCAACAAGAAACCAGAAGCGAGCUGUAAAGCAAAUGUCUAAUGCUUCAAAUAAACCAGAAACCAAAAGGAAUGCAAAGGUCAGUGACUUGAAAAAUGAGCUAUGUGAAAAGAAGACAACUAUUCAGCAACUGGAAGAUGAAAAUUGCAGAUUGAAGGAGACAAUCCAAUCAUAUGAAAAUGAACCGACAAGUUCUUCAGACUUUAUAAAAGAGGGGAAAAAGUACCCUAAUACAAUUAGGAUGUUUGUUUACGACUCUCUUGUGAACAAUGUGCCAACACAGAAUGUUCCAAAUCUAAUCAAACAGUUCGGCAAGAGAACAGGGAUAACAAUUAAUCAUGUUCCACACAGAAACACAGUAGAACUUACGUGUAGAAGAGAUAGGUGUUAUCUCGGACAUAAUGAGUGCCGAGUUGCUUGUUAACGAAGACAACCUGACAAUUGCUUUUGAUGCAACAACACAGGAAGGAACCCACGUCAAUAGUAUUCAUGUUACCAGCAAGGACAAAUGCUAUGUCUUGGCAGUAGAUGAGUUACCUGGAGGGACUACUGAAGAUUACAGCAUGCAUGUAAAUGACACUAUAGACUCAUUAAAGGGAUAGUCCACCCCAGAAAUUUCUUUAUACUGUCGAAAUCUCCAUAAAAUUUCAUGUAAGAUGAUUUCAUUUAUUUUUUAGAAAAGACAGGAUUUAGCUGUAGAAUCACAGUUGAAACAUACGCAUUCUCCCU